CAGUAGCCACGGGAAUACGUAGGGUGCGAGCGUUAAUCGGAAUUACUGGGCGUAAAGCGUGCGCAGGCGGUUCGUUAAGACAGAUGUGAAAUCCCCGGGCUUAACCUGGGAACUGCAUUUGUGACUGGCGAGCUAGAGUAUGGCAGAGGGGGGUAGAAUUCCACGUGUAGCAGUGAAAUGCGUAGAGAUGUGGAGGAAUACCGAUGGCGAAGGCAGCCCCCUGGGCCAAUACUGACGCUCAUGCACGAAAGCGUGGGGAGCAAACAGGAUUAGAUACCCCCGUAGUCCCUGUCUCUUAUAC
RNAcentral lists this ribosomal RNA (301 nucleotides) under uncultured bacterium. Its description in RNAcentral is "partial 16S ribosomal RNA". It matches the Rfam family "Bacterial small subunit ribosomal RNA", at positions 509 to 807 of the family's 1533-position model. The record is from RNAcentral.